Molecule: ribosomal RNA, 154 nt
Filed under: uncultured Erythrobacter sp.
Lineage: Bacteria; Pseudomonadati; Pseudomonadota; Alphaproteobacteria; Sphingomonadales; Erythrobacteraceae
Description: partial 16S ribosomal RNA
Rfam family: Bacterial small subunit ribosomal RNA
Source: RNAcentral
GGGGGGGAUUUGGGGCAUGGGCGAGCCUGAUCCAGCAUGCCGCGUGAGUGAUGAAGGCCUUAGGGUUGUAAGCUCUUUUACCAGGGAUGAUAAUGACAGUACCUGGAGAAUAAGCUCCGGCUAACUCCGUGCCAGCAGCCGCGGUAAUACAAGU